GCCAGGCGUGGUGGCACAUGCCUGUAAUCCCAGCAGCCUGGGAGGCUGAGGCAGGAGGAUCGCGAGUUCAAAGCCAGCCUCAGCAACUUAGCAAGGCCAUUAAGCAACUCAGUGAGACCCUGCCUCUG
This 128-nucleotide small RNA is filed under the name Marmota monax (woodchuck). The record is from RNAcentral. Lineage: Eukaryota; Metazoa; Chordata; Mammalia; Rodentia; Sciuridae.